AGAGCUUUGAUCCUGGCUCAGAUUGAACGCUGGCGGCAUGCCUUACACAUGCAAGUCGAACGGCAGCACGGGGGCAACCCUGGUGGCGAGUGGCGAACGGGUGAGUAAUACAUCGGAACGUGCCCUGUAGUGGGGGAUAACUAGUCGAAAGAUUAGCUAAUACCGCAUACGACCUGAGGGUGAAAGCGGGGGACCGCAAGGCCUCGCGCUACAGGAGCGGCCGAUGUCUGAUUAGCUAGUUGGUGGGGUAAAAGCCUACCAAGGCGACGAUCAGUAGCUGGUCUGAGAGGACGAUCAGCCACACUGGGACUGAGACACGGCCCAGACUCCUACGGGAGGCAGCAGUGGGGAAUUUUGGACAAUGGGGGCAACCCUGAUCCAGCAAUGCCGCGUGUGUGAAGAAGGCCUUCGGGUUGUAAAGCACUUUUGUCCGGAAAGAAAUGGCUCUGGUUAAUACCUGGGGUCGAUGACGGUACCGGAAGAAUAAGCACCGGCUAACUACGUGCCAGCAGCCGCGGUAAUACGUAGGGUGCGAGCGUUAAUCGGAAUUACUGGGCGUAAAGCGUGCGCAGGCGGUUUUGUAAGACAGGCGUGAAAUCCCCGAGCUCAACUUGGGAAUGGCGCUUGUGACUGCAAGGCUAGAGUAUGUCAGAGGGGGGUAGAAUUCCACGUGUAGCAGUGAAAUGCGUAGAGAUGUGGAGGAAUACCGAUGGCGAAGGCAGCCCCCUGGGACGUCACUGACGCUCAUGCACGAAAGCGUGGGGAGCAAACAGGGAUUAGAUACCCUGGUAGUCCACGCCCUAAACGAU
RNAcentral lists this ribosomal RNA (809 nucleotides) under uncultured Gammaproteobacteria bacterium. RNAcentral describes it as "bacterial SSU rRNA". It matches the Rfam family "Bacterial small subunit ribosomal RNA", at positions 8 to 810 of the family's 1533-position model. Lineage: Bacteria; Pseudomonadati; Pseudomonadota; Gammaproteobacteria. The record is from RNAcentral.